Quercus robur (English oak) is the source of this 544-nucleotide long non-coding RNA. RefSeq lists it as uncharacterized. The transcript is spliced from 2 exons. Lineage: Eukaryota; Viridiplantae; Streptophyta; Magnoliopsida; Fagales; Fagaceae. The record is from RefSeq and is a predicted model, not a curated record.
ACCAACUUUAACCCACACGCCAAAGUACAUCUGAUCUCUCUCUCUCUCCCUCAUUUUCUUUUUCACUUUCCUCUUUUUUCUUUUCUUUUCCUUCUCCUCCUUUCUUUUCCUCCAUUUUUUCUUCUUCAGCGUCUUCGUCUUUCUUCUUCUUCUGCUAAUGCUGAAACGAAGAAGCUAAAGAGAGAAAACUCUUGGUGGAUCUGUACUGUACCACACGGUGCCCAGCUCCAACAUGAUCAUGAUCAAGAUUAUUUUUAGUUUCUCUCUCUCUAUGCUCCCCCUCAUGAUCUUUGCUUGUCUAAUUAAUUUUGGAUAUGCAAGGAAUAUCACUCAGUUUGAUCUCACUUGCUUUAAUAGAAGCUCUAAAUAUAAAUAUGUAUGUAGAUAUGUAAUUUUACCUUCUGCUACACUCUUGGUGUUGGGGGCCUGGAUUUCUUUUAGAGAUUGGGUUUUCAGGAAGUGUAAGAUUGUGUAAAAAUUGGGCUAUUGGAUCUUGUAUGCUUACACUUAAGUUUUUUAAUGAAGUUGGACAAAUUAAUAUUCA